GAGCGCCGUAGCAAUACGGAGCGGCAGACGGGAGAGUAACACGUGGGAACGUGCCCUUCAGUUCGGAACAACUCAGGGAAACUUGGGCUAAUACCGAAUACGUCCGUAAGGAGAAAGAUUUAUCGCUGAAGGAUCGGCCCGCGUCUGAUUAGCUAGUUGGUGGGGUAAUGGCUCACCAAGGCGACGAUCAGUAGCUGGUCUGAGAGGAUGAUCAGCCACAUUGGGACUGAGACACGGCCCAAACUCCUACGGGAGGCAGCAGUGGGGAAUAUUGGACAAUGGGCGCAAGCCUGAUCCAGCCAUGCCGCGUGAGUGAUGAAGGCCCUAGGGUUGUAAAGCUCUUUUACCCGGGAAGAUAAUGACGGUACCGGGAGAAUAAGCCCCGGCUAACUUCGUG
This 397-nucleotide ribosomal RNA is filed under the name uncultured bacterium. Its description in RNAcentral is "bacterial SSU rRNA". It matches the Rfam family "Bacterial small subunit ribosomal RNA", at positions 64 to 507 of the family's 1533-position model. The record is from RNAcentral.